This 4303-nucleotide long non-coding RNA is filed under the name Mytilus galloprovincialis (Mediterranean mussel). The record is from RNAcentral. Lineage: Eukaryota; Metazoa; Mollusca; Bivalvia; Mytilida; Mytilidae.
UUUCCCAGGUAUGUUUUCUGUUAAGACCUUUGUGUAUGUCUAAUUGCGCCUUUUCUUUUUUUCUAGCAGGGCGCGACGCAGAUUGAGGAUUUUCCAGGUAUGUUUUCUGUUAAGACCUUUGUGUAUGUCUAAUUGCGCCUUUUCUUUUUUUCUAGCAGGGCGCGACGCAGAUUGAGGAUUCCCAGGUAUGUUUUCUGUUAAGACCUUUGUGUAUGUCUAAUGGUUCCUUUUUUUUUCCUUUAGGUCGUGUGGACUUUUUUUUUUUUUUGCAGGGCGCGACGCAGAUUGAGGAUUCCCAGGUAUGUUUUCUGUUAAGACCUUUGUGUAUGUCUAAUUGCGCCUUUUCUUUUUUUCUAGCAGGGCGCGACGCAGAUUGAGGAUUCCCAGGUAUGUUUUCUGUUAAGACCUUUGUGUAUGUCUAAUGUUGUCUUUUCUUUUAUUCUGGCAGGGCGCGACGCAGAUUGGAGAUUUGCCAGGUAUGUUUUCUGUUAAGGCCUUUGUGUAUGUCUAAUGGUUCCUUUUUUUUCCUUUAGGUCGUGGCCUAGCAGCGCGACGCAGAUUGAAGAUUCAGGUAUGUUUUCUGUUAAGGCCUUUGUGUAUGUCUAAUGUCGCCUUUUCUUUUUUUCUAGCAGGGCGCGACGCAGAUUGAGGAUUCUCAGGUAUGUUUUCUGUUAAGACCUUUGUGUAUGUCUAAUUUCGCCUUUUCUUUUUUUCUAGCAGGGCGCGACGCAGAUUGAGGAUUCCCAGGUAUGUUUUCUGUUAAGACCUUUGUGUAUGUCUAAUUUCGCCUUUUCUUUUUUUCUAGCAGGGCGCGACGCAGAUUGAGGAUUCCCAGGUAUGUUUUCUGUUAAGACCUUUGUGUAUGUCUAAUUGCGCCUUUUCUUUUUUUCUAGCAGGGCGCGACGCAGAUUGAGGAUUCCCAGGUAUGUUUUCUGUUAAGACCUUUGUGUAUGUCUAAUUGCGCCUUUUCUUUUUUUCUAGCAGGGCGCGACGCAGAUUGAGGAUUCCCAGGUAUGUUUUCUGUUAAGACCUUUGUGUAUGUCUAAUUGCGCCUUUUCUUUUUUUCUAGCAGGGCGCGACGCAGAUUGAGGAUUCCCAGGUAUGUUUUCUGUUAAGACCUUUGUGUAUGUCUAAUUGCGCCUUUUUUUUUUUCUAGCAGGGCGCGACGCAGAUUGAGGAUUCCCAGGUAUGUUUUCUGUUAAGACCUUUGUGUAUGUCUAAUUGCGCCUUUUUCUUUUUUCUAGCAGGGCGCGACGCAGAUUGAAGAUUCGAAGGUAUGUUUUCUGUUAAAGCCUUUGUGUAUGUCUAAUGUCGCCUUUUCUUUUUUUCUAGCAGGGGGCGACGCAGAUUGAGGAUUUUCAGGUAUGUUUUCUGUUAAGACCUUUGUGUAUGUCUAAUUUCGCCUUUUCUUUUUUUCUAGCAGGGUGCGACGCAGAUUGAGGAUUCCCAGGUAUGUUUUCCGUUAAGACCUUUGUGUAUGUCUAAUUUCGCCUUUUCUUUUUUUCUAGCAGGGCGCGACGCAGAUUGAGGAUUCCCAGGUAUGUUUUCUGUUAAGACCUUUGUGUAUGUCUAAUGUCACCUUUUCUUUUUUUUUCCAGCAGGACGCGACGCAGAUUGAGGAUUCUCAGGUAUGUUUUCUGUUAAGACCUUUGUGUAUGUCUAAUUUCGCCUUUUCUUUUUUUCUAGCAGGGCGCGACGCAGAUUGAGGAUUCUCAGGUAUGUUUUCUGUUAAGACCUUUGUGUAUGUCUAAUUGCGCCUUUUCUUUUUUUCUAGCAGGGCGCGACGCAGAUUGAGGAUUCCCAGGUAUGUUUUCUGUUAAGACCUUUGUGUAUGUCUAAUUUCGCCUUUUCUUUUUUUUCAAGCAGGGCGCGACGCAGAUUGAGAUUUGAAGGUAUGUUUUCUGUUAAGGCCUUUGUGUAUGUCUAAUGUUGCCUUUUCUUUUUUUCUAGCAGGGCGCGACGCAGAUUGAGUAUUUUCAGGUAUGUUUUCUGUUAAGACCUUUGUGUAUGUCUAAUUGUUGCUUUUCUUUUUUUUCUAGCAGGGCGCGACGCAGAUUGAGGAUUCCAGGUAUGUUUUCUGUUAAGACCUUUGUGUAUGUCUAAUGUUGCUUUUUCUUUUUUUUCUAGCAGGGCGCGACGCAGAGAUUGAGGAUUUUCCAGGUAUGUUUUCUGUUAAGACCUUUGUGUAUGUCUAAUGUUGCCUUUUUCUUUUUUUCUAGCAGGUCGCGACGCAGAUUGAGGAAUUCCAGGUAUGUUUUCUGUUAAGACCUUUGUGUAUGUCUAAAGUUGCCUUUUCUUUUUUUCUAGCAGGUUGCGACGCAGAUUGAGGAAUUCCAGGUAUGUUUUCUGUUAAGACCUUUGUGUAUGUCUAAUGUUGUCUUUUCUUUUUUACUGGCAGGGCGCGACGCAGAUUGAGGAUUCCAGGUAUGUUUUCUGUUAAGACCUUUGUGUAUGUCUAAUGUUGCUUUUCUUUUUUUCUAGCAGGGCGUGACGCAGAUUGAGGAUUUUCAGGUAUGUUUUCUGUUAAGACCUUUGUGUAUGUCUAAUGUUGCCUUUUCUUUUUUUCUAGCAGGGCGCGACACAGAUUGAGGAUUCAGGUAUGUUUUCUGUUAAGACCUUUGUGUAUGUCUAAUGGUUUUUUUUUCCUUUAGGUCGUGUGCCUUUUUUUUUUUUGCAGGGCGCGACGCAGAUUGAGGAUUCGCAGGUAUGUUUUCUGUUAAGACCUUUGUGUAUGUCUAAUGUUGUCUUUUCUUUUUUUCUAGCAGGGCGCGUCGCAGAUUGAGGAUUUUCAGGUAUGUUUUCUGUUAAGACCUUUGUGUAUGUCUAAUGUUGUCCUUUUCUUUUUUUCUAGCAGGGCGCGACGCAGAUUGAGGAUUCCCAGGUAUGUUUUCUGUUAAGACCUUUGUGUAUGUCUAAUGUUGUCUUUUCUUUUUUUUCUGGCAGGGCGCAUCGCAGAUUGGAGAUUUUCAGGUAUGUUUUCUGUUAAGACCUUUGUGUAUGUCUAAUUUCGCCUUUUCUUUUUUUCUAGUAGGGUGCGACGCAGAUUGAGGAUUCCCAGGUAUGUUUUCUGUUAAGACCUUUGUGUAUGUCUAAGGUUGUCUUUUCUUUUUUUCUGGCAGGGCGAGACGCAGAUUGGAGAUUUUCAGGUAUGUUUUCUGUUAAGACCUUUGUGUAUGUCUAAUAUCGCCUUUUCUUUUUUUUUCUGGCAGGGCAUGACGCAGAUUGAGGAUUUUCAGGUAUGUUUUCUGUUAAGACCUUUGUGUAUGUCUAAUGUUGUCUUUUCUUUUUUCUAGCAGGGCGCGACGCAGAUUGAGGAUUUUCCAGGUAUGUUUUCUGUUAAGACCUUUGUGUAUGUCUAAUGUCGCCUUUUCUUUUUUUCUAGCAGGGCGCGACGCAGAUUGAGGAUUCCCAGGUAUGUUUUCUGUUAAGACCUUUGUGUAUGUCUAAUUGCGCCUUUUCUUUUUUUUCUAGCAGGGCGCGACGCAGAUUGAGGAUUCCCAGGUAUGUUUUCUGUUAAGACCUUUGUGUAUGUCUAAUGUUGUCUUUUCUUUUAUUCUGGCAGGGCGCGACGCAGAUUGGAGAUUUGCAGGUAUGUUUUCUGUUAAGGCCUUUGUGUAUGUCAAAUGGUUCCUUUUUUUUCCUUUAGGUCAUGUGGCCUAUGGGACAUUUGCAGGUAUGUUUUCUGUUAAGGCCUUUGUGUAUGUCUAAUUGCGUUCCUUUUCUUUUUUUCUUUAGCAGGGCCUUCUUUUUUUUGUGCGGGACGACGCAGAUUGAGGAUUCCCAGGUAUGUUUUCUGUUAAGACCUUUGUGUAUGUCUAAUGUUGCUUUUUUCUUUUUUUCUAGCAGGGCGCGACGCAGAUUGAGGAUUUUCCAGGUAUGUUUUCUGUUAAGACCUUUGUGUAUGUCUAAUGUUGUCUUUUUCUUUUUUUCUAGCAGGGCGCAUCGCAGAUUGAGGAUUUUCCAGGUAUGUUUUCUGUUAAGACCUUUGUGUAUGUCUAAUUGCGUUCCUUUUUUUUUUUUCUUUAGGUCGUGUGGCUUUUUUUUUUUUUGCAGGGCGCGACGCAGAUUGAGGAUUCCCAGGUAUGUUUUCUGUUAAGACCUUUGUGUAUGUCUAAUUUGUCUUUUCUUUUUUUCUAGCAGGGCGCGACGACGCAGAUUGAGGAUUCCAGGUAUGUUUUCUGUUAAGACCUUUGUGUAUGUCUAAUUUCGCCUUUUCUUUUUUUCUAGCAGGGCGCGACGCAGAUUGAUGAUUUUCAGGUAUGUUUUCUGUUAAGACCUUUGUGUAUGUCUAAUGUUGUCUUUU